GAUGAAGAACGUAGCGAAAUGCGAUAAGUAGUGUGAAUUGCAGAAUUCAGUAAAUCAUCGAAUCUUUGAACGCACAUUGCGCCUUCUAGUAUUCUGGGAGGCAUGCCUGUUUGAGCGUCAUUAAACCUCUCUCAAGUAUGAUUACUUGGAUGUGAAGGAAGAGUACCUUAAACUUAAGGAGUGUUCUCCUUUGAAAUUGAUUAGCAGAUGGUAAUGUUAUUAAAUCCCUGAUGUUGUAAGAAAUAACAGUGGUUUUGUAGACUAUUAUCUAGCUUUAAAUUAUAAUUUUUAUUAUGGUUGACCUCAAAUCAGGUAAGGAUACCCGCUGAACUUAAGCAUAUCAAUAAGCGGAGGA
This 355-nucleotide unclassified non-coding RNA is filed under the name soil metagenome. RNAcentral describes it as "partial contains 5.8S ribosomal RNA, internal transcribed spacer 2, and large subunit ribosomal RNA". The stretch from base 1 to 120 matches the Rfam family "5.8S ribosomal RNA", at positions 35 to 154 of the family's 154-position model. The record is from RNAcentral.